UCCUUGAAGAUAAACUAAAAAAUCAGUGAAACACAGAGUCAGCAUGAGAAAUAUAGGAGUCAUAGUACCACUAAUCAGGAGGUCUAGAAGGAGUCAUAGUUCCAAUAAUCAGGAGGUCUAGAAGGAGUCAUAGUACCACUAAUCAGGAGGUAUAGAAGGAGUCAUAGUACCACUGAUCAGGAGGUAUAGAAGGAGUCAUAGUACCACUGAUCAGGAGGUAUAGAAGGAGUCAUAGUACCACUGAUCAGGAGGUAUAGAAGGAGUCAUAGUACCACUGAUCAGGAGGUAUAGAAGGAGUCAUAGUACCACUAAUCAGGAGGUCUAGAAGGAGUCAUAGUACCACUGAUCAGGAGGUAUAGAAGGAGUCAUAGUACCACUAAUCAGGAGGUAUAGAAGGAGUCAUAGUACCACUGAUCAGGAGGUAUAGAAGGAGUCAUAGUACCACUAAUCAGGAGGUCUAGAAGGAGUCAUAGUACCACUAAUCAGGAGGUCUAGAAGGAGUCAUAGUUCCAAUAAUCAGGAGGUAUAGAAGGAGUCAUAGUACCACUGAUCAGGAGGUAUAGAAGGAGUCAUAGUACCACUGAUCAGGAGGUCUAGAAGGAGUCAUAGUACCACUAAUCAGGAGGUCUAGAAGGAGUCAUAGUACCACUGAUCAGGAGGUAUAGAAGGAGUCAUAGUACCACUGAUCAGGAGGUCUAGAAGGAGUCAUAGUACCACUAAUCAGGAGGUCUAGAAGGAGUCAUAGUUCCAAUAAUCAGGAGGUAUAGAAGGAGUCAUAGUACCACUGAUCAGGAGGUCUAGAAGGAGUCAUAGUUCCAAUAAUCAGGAGGUCUAGAAGGAGUCA
Molecule: long non-coding RNA, 844 nt
Organism: Acanthochromis polyacanthus (spiny chromis)
Lineage: Eukaryota; Metazoa; Chordata; Actinopteri; Pomacentridae
Exons: 5
Source: RefSeq, a predicted model, not a curated record